UACAGGGGGUGCAAGCGUUAUUCGGAAUUAUUGGGCGUAAAGAGCGUGUAGGUGGUUUGCUAAGUCUGGUGUGAAAUCCCUGGGCUCAAUCCAGGAAGUGCAUUGGAUACUGGCAGACUAGAGUGCAGGAGAGGAGAGCGGAAUUCCAGGUGUAGAGGUGAAAUUCGUAGAUAUCUGGAGGAACAACAGUGGCGAAGGCGGCUCUCUGGACUGUUACUGACACUAAGGCGCGAAAGCGUGGGGAGCAAACAGG
RNAcentral lists this ribosomal RNA (253 nucleotides) under uncultured bacterium. RNAcentral's name for it is "partial 16S ribosomal RNA". It matches the Rfam family "Bacterial small subunit ribosomal RNA", at positions 524 to 776 of the family's 1533-position model. The record is from RNAcentral.